GGCGCCUAGAACGCUACCACAUCCAAGGAAUGGCAGCAGGCGCGCAAAUUACCCAACCUGACACGGGGAGGUAGUGACAUAAAUAAAAUACCGGGCGCGUUAGUGUCUGGUAAUUGGAAUGAGUACAAUCUAAAAUCCCUUAACGAGGAUCCCAUUGGAGGCCAAUCUUGGUGCCAGCAGCGCGGUAAAAAUUCCAAGCUCCAAUAGCGUAUAUUUAAGUUGUUGCAGUUUAAAAAGCUCGUAGUUGACCUUGGGCCGGGUCGGCCGGUCCGCCUUCGGCGAGAAACGACCUACUCGGACCCUUCUGCGGCGAUGCGCCUCCUGGGCCUUAUUGGCCGGGUCGUGCCUCGGCCCCGCCGUUUACUUUGAAGAACAUUAGAAGUGCUCAAAGCAAGCCAUCGCCUGGAUUACAUUAGCAAUGGGAUAACAUCAUAGGAUUCCGGUCCGCUAUUGUGUUGGCCUUCGGGGAUCGGAGUAAUGAUUAAUAGGGAAGUCGGGGCAUUCGUAUUUCAUAGUCAGAGGUGAAAUUCCCUUUGGAUUUUAUGAAGACGACCAACUGCGAGCAUUUGCCAAGGAUGUUUUCAAUAAUCAGACGAAAGUUGGGGGCUCCGAAGACGAUCAGAUACCGUCCUAUGUCUCAACCAUAAACGAUGCCGACCAGGGAUCGGCGGCUGUUGCUUAUAGGACUCCGCCGGCACCUUAUAGAAAUCAAAGUUUUGGUUCCGGGGGGAGUAUGGUCGAGGCUGAAACUUAAAGGAAUGACGGAAGGGCACCACCAGGCGUGAGCCUGCGGCUUAAUUUGACUCAACACGGGAAACUACCAGGUCCAGACAUAGCAAGGAUUGACCAGACUGAGAGCUCUUUCUUGAUUCUUGGUGGUGUGCAAUGGCCCGUUCUUAGUUGGUGGAGCGAUUGUCUGGUUAUUCCGUUAACGAACGAGACCUCAGCUGCUAACUAGCUCUGCGGAGCCAUCCCUCGCAAGCUAGCUCUUAGGGACUCUGGCCGUUUAGGCCACGGAAGUUUAGGCAAUACACAGUCUGUGAUGCCCUUAGAUGUUCCUGGGCCGCACGCGCGCGUCACACUGAUGUAAUUCAACGAGUAUAUUAUCCAGCCUUGGCCGUACAGGCCCGGGUAAUCUUGGAAAUUUCAAUCGUGAUGGGAUAGAAUACAUUGCACAUUGUUGGUCUUCAACGACGGAUGCCUAAGUAAGCGGCGAGUCAUCAGCUCGCGUUGGAACUACGUCCCUGCCCUUUAGUAACACCGCCCGCCGCUACCUACCGGAUUGAAUGGUCCGGUGAAGUGUUCGGAUCGCGGCGACGGAGUGCCGGUUCGCCGCCCGCCUGACGCCCCCGCCGGCGAGAAGUCCAUUGCACCUUUCAUUUAGAGGAAGGAGAAGUCGUAACAAGGUUUCCGUAGGGUGACCUGCUGCGG
This 1431-nucleotide ribosomal RNA is filed under the name Urochloa ruziziensis. Its description in RNAcentral is "SSU rRNA". It matches the Rfam family "Eukaryotic small subunit ribosomal RNA", at positions 391 to 1823 of the family's 1831-position model. The record is from RNAcentral. Lineage: Eukaryota; Viridiplantae; Streptophyta; Magnoliopsida; Poales; Poaceae.